Clarias gariepinus (North African catfish) is the source of this 687-nucleotide long non-coding RNA. RefSeq lists it as uncharacterized. Lineage: Eukaryota; Metazoa; Chordata; Actinopteri; Siluriformes; Clariidae. The record is from RefSeq and is a predicted model, not a curated record. The transcript has 3 exons.
GUUGGGGUGGAUGGAGUCACAGGAUCCCCACUUUAGUACAUCACUAAGUCAUUAAUUAUUUUCCUAUAACUGCAUGCUUCUCAAGUGUUUUGGUAAUCAUUUCAUAUCAUAUUAGGAUUGCUGAUUAAGUUCGUUCUAUUGUACAGAUUUGUCUCAAGUGAUCAUUGUGACAAGAGUGGAUGAGGCCUGGCCACUGGUUAAAAAUGACAUAACUAAAGUCUACACCAGCAUGAAGGUCAAAGAACGGGAAAUCAUGCCCUCUCACGAAAGAGCGUUUUCAGUUUAUAAGUGUGUGUGUAUAGGUGUUUAUGUAAAACAGAAAGGGGGCUGGAGCUCAACAACUGAGGGUAUAAAUGUUAGAAUUGGGAGUCUUCUGGAACAGUCGACCGAGAAUGAACCUAUGCAACAGUGUAGUAAUCUGCUACGUGUCUCAUCUUCCCAGUGAAGAACUAUAACAAUGAGUUGAACACAAAUAUUAGCAUGGAUUUUCUGAUCCUCAAAGCAUUUGAACAGAUUGUGAAUCUUGCUAAUGAUGCCCUGAUCCACCGAAACCCUUCACAAACAUGAGUGAAGGCUAUUUUCUUCCCUAUACUAAUGCUGUUUUAAUAUAUUCAAAUUUAAGUAUAGUAAAAAGACCAUAGCAUAUGGAUAAUAAGAUUAAAAUAAAGCACAUUUCUUCUACUUUGA